RNAcentral lists this long non-coding RNA (1668 nucleotides) under Carica papaya (papaya). Its description in RNAcentral is "long non-coding RNA (CPAP_LNC007400)". The record is from RNAcentral. Lineage: Eukaryota; Viridiplantae; Streptophyta; Magnoliopsida; Brassicales; Caricaceae.
UUUGUUUUCUUCUUGGUCCUAACUGGAAUGAUACAGGACUAAAUAUCCAGUGUUUGGUUAUUUUCAAACUCAUUAAUUUCUGUUUUGGUUACCUUCAAUGAGAAGGCAAAUCCCCCUCACUCGACGGGUCCACCCGAAAAACUUCGUGGAGGGAUUUCGUUGCUCGAUUUCCGCCACUUGUAAACGCAAUCAAUACUUACUCGAAUUGGUAAUGAGGUGUGCUUCCUAUUUUAAGUAUACGAAUUUUAGUUUUAUAACUAAUGUCCCCAGAGUAAAUUCUAGACACUUUAUGUAAUUACUUGAGAAGUGGUAUACUUUAUUUUCGGUAUAAACAAAAAACAAAAAACUUAUGAUUUUGCAAGGUUAAUGCUAAUAAACAUGGUGUUGGCAAAUAUAAUACGACCCACUUUGGAAUUUUAUUUUUUUUAACAUUUUAUAUAUAUUUUAUAAAAUUUUAAUAUAUUAGAGCGCGUUUAAGAGAAAAAAAAAUAUUAUAAUUUUUAAAAUUCUUCAUAGUAAAUUUAGAUUUAUCGUUCUUAUAAUCGUUAUAAGUGACAUUAAUUGAGAGUCUUGUCGAGAAGAAAUAAAAUUUGUAUGUAUUUGUCAAGGUGAUGGUGAAGCAAGGAAGAACCCUCAAGCAAAUGCAAUCUCCACACUACAAAAUAAUUGUUUGUAUCCAUAAGAAUAGAGACAGCAAGUUUAUUUCUUUAAUUUAUCGUAUUAAAUUAAUUUCUUAAUUUUAGUUGAUAACAAAAGAAAAGAAAAUUAUAAUAUUCUUAUUUCGCGGGAUUCGUAAUACAAACCGAGUCCAAUAAAUUCGUCUAAAAAAUUUAUUUACUUUAUUUGGUAUUCUAAAAUAUUAUUCAAUGAAUUUAUGAUGUAUACAAUUUGUACUGUAUUAACUAAAAUUUUGAAUAAAAAAUUUAUGUCACCUCCUAAUUCUAAUACUAGUUAGAAAAUUCAAUGGCUUCCUUGAGAUUCAUGAAUGAUACUAGAAUCCUGAUGCUAAACAAAGAACUCCAACAAUAACACAAUGUAUAUACAUAUAUAUAUAUAUAUAUGUAUGUAUAUGCACAUUAUCAUUGUCUUACUAUGAUACCACCAGAGGGUAUCUUCAUUUAUGGACAAUUUCAUUGUCUAUAUAGCCUGAAAAGAUCUCCAAAUAUCUAUCUACUCAACUUUUCAACUGAAAACUAUUCUCAUCCUCUGAGAAAAUAUCCAUUAAUAUCCCACUGUCUUUACUGUAAAAAAUAAUCCAAAUUCUAAUCUACAAAAUGAAAUAAGAUCAAAUAGGUGAUUUAAUUUCAACUUCCAAAAAGAUAACAUACAACCAAAGCUAGGCAAUUUCUCAAUAAAGUUUCAACUUGAGUUUAAUUGAAUAGUACAUAAUUUGACCAAAUGUCUAUAAAUAAGUCCAGGGGGGAAAACAAUUGGAAAUCCAUGUAUUUUCUCAGUUAUACAGUGUUCAUACUAAAUUAAUAAGGCAAAUCUCCUCCACUAACUUAAAGUAUGCAAAGUGUGAUGGAGGACCAACGAGCUACCUCUGAUUAAAAUUUGAGAAUUGUGAAUGCAACUCGAUAGCCAACCAAUUCCAAGAAGAACGAAACUCAUUCUGCUCAGUUCAUUGACGAUUAUACGGAGGAUACAUGUUCUCAGGUGGUGUAGGUU